Molecule: ribosomal RNA, 482 nt
Filed under: uncultured bacterium
Lineage: Bacteria
Description: partial 16S ribosomal RNA
Rfam family: Bacterial small subunit ribosomal RNA
Source: RNAcentral
GACGAACGCUGGCGGCGUGCUUAACACAUGCAAGUCGAACGAUGAAACCUAGCUUGCUAGGUCGAUUAGUGGCGAACGGGUGAGUAACACGUGACUAACCUGCCCCUUUCUCUGGGAUAACGCUCCGAAAGGAGUGCUAAUACCGGAUACUCACAUCGAGGCACAUGCCUUGAUGUGGAAAGUUUUUCGGAAAGGGAUGGAGUCGCGGCCUAUCAGCUUGUUGGUGAGGUAACGGCUCACCAAGGCGACGACGGAUAGCCGGCCUGAGAGGGCGACCGGCCACCCUGGGACGGAGACACGGGCCAGACUCCUACGGGAGGCAGCAGUGGGGAAUAUUGCACAAUGGGCGCAAGCCUGAUGCAGCGACGCCGCGUGAGGGAUGAAGGUCUUCGGAUUGUGAACCUCUUUCAGUAGGGACGAAGCGAAAGUGACGGUACCUAAAGAAGAAGCACCGGCUAACUACGUGCCAGCCGCCGCCGUAA